GGGGAGGUGGCUGAGCGGUCGAAAGCGGCGGACUUGAAAUCCGUUGGCGGGCGCCGCCCGUCCGGGGGUUCGAAUCCCUCCCUCCCCG
This 88-nucleotide transfer RNA is filed under the name Inmirania thermothiophila. It matches the Rfam family "tRNA". Rfam says of the family: Transfer RNA (tRNA) molecules are approximately 80 nucleotides in length. Their secondary structure includes four short double-helical elements and three loops (D, anti-codon, and T loops). Further hydrogen bonds mediate the characteristic L-shaped molecular structure. tRNAs have two regions of fundamental functional importance: the anti-codon, which is responsible for specific mRNA codon recognition, and the 3' end, to which the tRNAs corresponding amino acid is attached (by aminoacyl-tRNA synthetases). tRNAs cope with the degeneracy of the genetic code in two manners: having more than one tRNA (with a specific anti-codon) for a particular amino acid; and 'wobble' base-pairing, i.e. permitting non-standard base-pairing at the 3rd anti-codon position. The record is from Rfam by way of RNAcentral. Lineage: Bacteria; Pseudomonadati; Pseudomonadota; Gammaproteobacteria; Chromatiales; Ectothiorhodospiraceae.